CUUGAAAAUUUGUCUCGCUUUUAUUAUAUUAGAAGAGCUGAGCAAUCAGCUACGGCACUAGAGGCUGUAUGAAAUAGGUAUUUUGGACCCGGGGGCAGUACCCGGCACCUCCACCAAUUAGUAAGGUGGAAAGUUUGGAGAAUGAGAGAUAUAAAGUGAUUUCUGGCUGCAAAGAAAAUUUUAGCGUACAUAGGUAGUACAUGAAUUUUCUGAGACGGCGUAAAAUCGCUUUAGAUAUUCAUUAUACAGACUUUUAUUUCUAGGGGGGUGAAACAGGAUAGACAGGAUACAGUAAAGAUAUGUAAGCUGUGCUCGGUGAGAUACCACCGUUAUCGGUUCAAAUUUAAAUGAGUGCUAACGAUAAUAACGUAGCUCCAGUUGCAAUGGCUGCUUAAUUGUAGUCGCAACAAAUUAAAUCCUUUUAACUUUGGAUAGUUAAAAGUGGGGUCUGGGCCACCUCGCAACAGAACGGCC
RNAcentral lists this transfer-messenger RNA (474 nucleotides) under human gut metagenome. RNAcentral's name for it is "Alphaproteobacteria transfer-messenger RNA". It matches the Rfam family "Alphaproteobacteria transfer-messenger RNA". From Rfam's summary of the family: Bacterial tmRNA, also known as 10Sa RNA or SsrA, is named for its dual tRNA and mRNA-like properties. Its role is to liberate the mRNA from a stalled ribosome. The record is from RNAcentral.